Non-coding RNA from Schizosaccharomyces pombe (fission yeast), 871 nucleotides. The record is from the annotation of a GenBank genome assembly. NCBI's taxonomy places the organism in Eukaryota, Fungi, Ascomycota, Schizosaccharomycetes, Schizosaccharomycetales, Schizosaccharomycetaceae.
UGGUUUUUUGUAAACAGUAUUCUCAGUGGAUGCUGUUGUUAAGGUGAUUAUGAUUUAAUGAUAGGCCUGGCAAUACGUAAAAUUUUUCUUUUUAUUUUAUUAAAGGAAAUCUAUUUACGUCGAAUUAGUAACAAAGAGAAUAUGCAAAGAAUUACAUCUUUGGUUUAUUUUUUCAUAUAUAAGCACAUAUAUGUAUUUUUCUUUUGUUUGUCAUUUGCAAAGCAUCAGAGUUAUGAGAUAUUUUACUUUGAUGUUGCAAAAUAUUUUAUGGAAUUAAACAUUCUUAAUCCAAGGCUUGAUACAAUACCCACAUGUACAUUGGAAGUAUGAGAUUGUCAUUCUCCGUUGAGACACCUUCCAAAAUGGCCGUACAUAAGGACAUAAACAGCGUUUUCCAAAACGUUACUGAAGGACACACAUGAAAAGCUUGCGUCAAGUGUAAAACGAGAAACACUGAGAUUGAAAAGGCAAAUACCCCCUCAAUACUUUUAUUCGUUUUUGAGAUCCUAUGUUUUCCGAACCUUUUCCCAAUUAUGCUAGCCAUAGAAUCUCCACACCCUAAACAUAAAACACCAACCAGUAAUUCAACCGACGCAACAGGACCUUUUAAAGCAUUCGAAAGCCAAAUAGGAAUUGCACAACCAAUUAAAAGAUAUAUAUGGGAAAUAAUCAAGGGGCCCUUGUGAUCCCUGUUAUCGGUAUACUCCCAUAAAAAUUCAUGGAUCAUUUUUCCAAAUGGCUUAAGACGAAGUAUGCGUAUACCUUCAACAAACAGAAAUAUGAAUAAAACUCCCGAAAAAGACAGGUGGAGAAAAUGAGGAUCUAAGCAACAAACCGGAAGAAAUAAAAAGACAACCAAAGCAUGAUAUGU